This is a long non-coding RNA of Oncorhynchus keta (chum salmon), 309 nucleotides long. RefSeq lists it as uncharacterized. The record is from RefSeq and is a predicted model, not a curated record. The transcript has 3 exons. NCBI's taxonomy places the organism in Eukaryota, Metazoa, Chordata, Actinopteri, Salmoniformes, Salmonidae.
GCUGAGAGGGUAGAGGUUUAGCUGGUUUAUUUGGUGGUUGGCUGAGAGGGUAGAGGUUUAGCUGGUUUAUUUGGUGGUGGGCUGAGAGGGUAGAGGUUUAGCUGGUCUAUUUGGUGGUGGGCUGAGAGGGUAGAGGUUUAGCUGGUUUAUUUGGUGGUUGGCUGAGAGGGUAGAGGUUUAGCUGGUCUAUUUGGUGGUGGUCUGAGAGGGUAGAGGUUUAGCUGGUCUAUUUGGUGGUGGUCUGAGAGGGUAGAGGUUUAGCUGGUCUAUUUGGUGGUGGUCUGAGAUGGUAGAGGUUUAGCUGGUUUA